Molecule: ribosomal RNA, 481 nt
Filed under: uncultured bacterium
Lineage: Bacteria
Description: bacterial SSU rRNA
Rfam family: Bacterial small subunit ribosomal RNA
Source: RNAcentral
AUUGAACGCUGGCGGCAUGCCUUACACAUGCAAGUCGAACGGUAACAGGUCUUCGGAUGCUGACGAGUGGCGAACGGGUGAGUAAUACAUCGGAACGUGCCCGAUCGUGGGGGAUAACGGAGCGAAAGCUUUGCUAAUACCGCAUACGAUCUACGGAUGAAAGCAGGGGACCGCAAGGCCUUGCGCGGACGGAGCGGCCGAUGGCAGAUUAGGUAGUUGGUGGAUAAAAGCUUACCAAGCCGACGAUCUGUAGCUGGUCUGAGAGGACGACCAGCCACACUGGGACUGAGACACGGCCCAGACUCCUACGGGAGGCAGCAGUGGGGAAUUUUGGACAAUGGGCGAAAGCCUGAUCCAGCCAUGCCGCGUGCAGGAUGAAGGCCUUCGGGUUGUAAACUGCUUUUGUACGGAACGAAAAGACUCCUUCUAAUAAAGGGGGUUCAUGACGGUACCGUAAGAAUAAGCACCGGCUAACUACGUG